CCUACGGGCGGCUGCAGUGGGGAAUAUUGCACAAUGGGGGAAACCCUGAUGCAGCGACGCCGCGUGGGUGACGAAGUAUUUCGGUAUGUAAAGCCCUAUCAGCAGGGAAGAAGAUGACAGUACCUGACUAAGAAGCAGCGGCUAAAUACGUGCAAGCAGCCGCGGCAAUACGUAGGGGGCAGGCGUUAUCCGGAUUUACUGGGUGUUAAGGGGGCGCAGGCGGCGAUGAAAGCCAGGAGGGAAAGCCCUGGGCCCAACCCCGGGACUGCUCUUGAAACUGCGUGGCUGGAGUGCAGGAGGGGCAGGCGGAAGUCGUGGUGUAGCGGUGAAAUGCGUAGAUAUCAGGAGGAACACCGGUGGCGAAGGCGGCCUGCUGGACUGCAACUGACGUUGAGGCCCGAAAGCGUGGGGAGCGAACAGGAUUAGAUACCCCAGUAGUC
RNAcentral lists this ribosomal RNA (440 nucleotides) under uncultured bacterium. RNAcentral's name for it is "partial 16S ribosomal RNA". It matches the Rfam family "Bacterial small subunit ribosomal RNA", at positions 338 to 795 of the family's 1533-position model. The record is from RNAcentral.